RNAcentral lists this ribosomal RNA (163 nucleotides) under Lampranthus sp. Klak 417a. RNAcentral's name for it is "5.8S ribosomal RNA". It matches the Rfam family "5.8S ribosomal RNA". From Rfam's summary of the family: 5.8S ribosomal RNA (5.8S rRNA) is a component of the large subunit of the eukaryotic ribosome. It is transcribed by RNA polymerase I as part of the 45S precursor that also contains 18S and 28S rRNA. RNAcentral also lists the same sequence under 1 other name. Lineage: Eukaryota; Viridiplantae; Streptophyta; Magnoliopsida; Caryophyllales; Aizoaceae. The record is from RNAcentral.
UUAAACGACUCUCGGCAACGGAUAUCUCGGCUCUCGCAUCGAUGAAGAACGUAGCGAAAUGCGAUACUUGGUGUGAAUUGCAGAAUCCCGUGAACCAUCGAGUCUUUGAACGCAAGUUGCGCCCGAAGCCUUCGGGCCGAGGGCACGUCUGCCUGGGCGUCAC